Molecule: small RNA, 126 nt
Filed under: Marmota monax (woodchuck)
Lineage: Eukaryota; Metazoa; Chordata; Mammalia; Rodentia; Sciuridae
Source: RNAcentral
GCUGGGCGCGGUGGCGCAUGCCUGUAAUCCCAAUGACUCAGGAGGCUGAGGCAGGAGGAUCUGAGUUCAAAGCCAGCCUCAGCAACUUAGCGAGCUGCUAAGCAACUCAGUGAGACCCUGUCUCUA